AACAUGUAAAACAUUCCACUCAAAAUCUUUUUGGGUCAAACCAGGGAAAACAUGAAGAGCGUGAGAUGAACACUUGAGUGUUCUUCUCUUCCAUUUUCCAGGAUCCUAAAUUUAUGCUCAAACCAAAAAAACAUAAAUAAUAAAUCCCAUAUAAAUCAUCUCAUGGUCACGGUUAUGUCAUCCAAACAACCAAACAACUCACGCAUGGAACAUAUCGACCUUCCCCCCAAGCAGAAAACCUUAACCCUUUUUCUUUAAUUUUCAUCGAAUUACAACAAUGGUACAAUAAUUGGAAGGCAAAAAAUGAAACAAACAUACAAGAAAUAUAAAGCAAGAAUGAAAGAAGUAGAGAAAAUGACAAAAAAAGAAACCUCGUUGGGAUCUGGAUUUACCAGACCUUCGACGAGCACUUCGGUGAGGCCAGAUUUACCUUUUGGUAAGUUUCCAUUCUUUUUCUCCUUCUCUUUUGCACUUCUGCUUCUACCCCGUCUCCUUCUUUUUAUUUUCUUCUGGCGUGGUAGGAUGCAGGUGAAUUAGAGGUCAAGCUUGAGUUUCUGCAGAGGUUUGGAAGGUAAUUGAAGGUGUGGGAGUUUUAUGCCAAGUUCUCUUAGGGAUUUUUUCAUGUCUAUUUAAGAGCGAAUGAAAAUAUGAUUUUAUAGGAAUAUUUGGGACUCGUGUGAGGUGAUUUUGGGAGGGAAUAAUGGAUGGGCAUGAGUGUGUGAGCGAAGAGUGAGUAAAGUGUGAAGGCAGUAUGAACUUCGUGACUUUAGGAUGAGCAAGAGUGAGAGUCUUUGAUGUAUGUAUGUCGCAAGGACAUGGAUGUAUGGAGGUGAAGGAAGAUGGUGCAUAUUUUAUGUAAUGCUACUUGUAAUUCACAUGUACUAUAACAUUGUAUUUACAUUUUUAAUUUAAUAAAAUCGAAUUUUCUUAAAUUGAAUUUCAUUUUUUCCAUUUUACUUUUUAAUUCACCUUAAUUUUCAUGGUUGUGAUUAAUGGCAUGUAUGUGAUG
RNAcentral lists this long non-coding RNA (1009 nucleotides) under Lathyrus oleraceus (garden pea). RNAcentral describes it as "Pisum sativum (pea) long non-coding RNA (PSAT_LNC009560)". The record is from RNAcentral. Lineage: Eukaryota; Viridiplantae; Streptophyta; Magnoliopsida; Fabales; Fabaceae.